Pelobates cultripes (western spadefoot toad) is the source of this 420-nucleotide non-coding RNA. The record is from the annotation of a GenBank genome assembly. NCBI's taxonomy places the organism in Eukaryota, Metazoa, Chordata, Amphibia, Anura, Pelobatidae.
AAAUAGUGUAGUAUGUUUGAUAGUUGAGAAGAUAAAAGUAUAAAAAUCUGGAAUACAAACUCACAUUUAAAAGAGCUAAGACCCGCUCUGGUAUGAAAGGCGUACAGCGGUUUGAUCCCCGCUUAUGGGAUAUGAAGUAAAUUUCCUCCGUCCGUGAUAUGAUCAGCACUUGGGUAGAAAGAAACAGCCAAUAGUGUUCACUGGGUAAAAUACUUAAGAUAAAAUAAUUAAAAUAAAAUGGGUACUCACAAGAUAGGAGCAGAUCAACUGCUCCUUGUUAUUAGCGCUGGUGGUAUGAUCCCCACCUAGGAUUACUUGGAGUCCAGUGUGAUAAAAGGAUGCCAGGUAAAAAGCAGAUUAGCGUGUAUUAAAAGAUAAGUGGUAAAAUUAAAAGUAACCAAAUAUACUUUAAUAUAUAAA